This 626-nucleotide ribosomal RNA is filed under the name uncultured archaeon. RNAcentral's name for it is "bacterial SSU rRNA". It matches the Rfam family "Archaeal small subunit ribosomal RNA", at positions 147 to 774 of the family's 1478-position model. The record is from RNAcentral.
UAAUACUCCAUAGAUCAUGGGAUCUGGAAUGACCCAUGGUUGAAAGUUCCGGCGCUUAAGGAUCGCUCUGCGGCUUAUCAGGUUGUAGUGGGUGUAACGUACCCCCUAGCCAGUGACGAGUAUGGGCCUUGAGAGAGGGAGCCCAGAGUUGGAUUCUGAGACACGAAUCCAGGCCCUACGGGGCGCAGCAGUCGCGAAAACUUCACACUGGGGGCAACCCCGAUGAGGGAAUUCCUAGUGCUAGGACAUUUGUUCUAGCUUUUCUCUAGCGUAGAUAACUAGAGGAAUAAGGGCUGGGUAAGACGGGUGCCAGCCGCCGCGGUAAUACCUGCAGCCCAAGUGGUGGUCGAUUUUAUUGAGUCUAAAGCGUUCGUAGCCGGUUUGAUAAAUCCUUGGGUAAAUCGGGAAGCUUAACUUUCCGACUUCCGAGGAGACUGUCAAACUUGGGACCGGGAGAGGCUAGAGGUACUUCUGGGGUAGGGGUAAAAUCCUGUAAUCCUAGAAGGACCACCGGUGGCGAAGGCGUCUAGCUAGAACGGAUCCGACGGUGAAGGGACGAAGCCCUGGGUCGCAAACGGGAUUACAUACCCCGGCUAUCCAGGGUGUAAACGCUGCCGACUUGGUGU